RNAcentral lists this ribosomal RNA (411 nucleotides) under uncultured prokaryote. RNAcentral describes it as "bacterial SSU rRNA". It matches the Rfam family "Bacterial small subunit ribosomal RNA", at positions 505 to 918 of the family's 1533-position model. The record is from RNAcentral.
GUGCCAGCCGCCGCGGUAAUACGGAGGGGGCAAGCGUUGCUCGGAAUUACUGGGCGUAAAGGGUCCGUAGGCGGUUUUGCAAGUUGGAUGUGAAAGCUCAAGGCUCAACCUUGGAAUUGCAUCCAAAACUGCAUUACUUGAGUCCAAGAGAGGUUGGCGGAAUUCCCGGUGUAGCGGUGAAAUGCGUAGAUAUCGGGAGGAGCACCAGUGGCGAAGGCGGCCAACUGGCUUGGUACUGACGCUGAGGGACGAAAGCGUGGGGAGCGAACCGGAUUAGAUACCCGGGUAGUCCACGCCCUAAACGCUGGAUGCUAGGUGUGGGGGUUUUAACCUCCUUGCCGAAGUUAACGCAUUAAGCAUCCCGCCUGGGGACUAUGGUCGCAAGGCUGAAACUUAAAUGAAUUGGCGGGG